AGCCUAAGUAGUGUUUCCUUGUU
RNAcentral lists this non-coding RNA (23 nucleotides) under Arabidopsis thaliana (thale cress). The record is from RNAcentral. Lineage: Eukaryota; Viridiplantae; Streptophyta; Magnoliopsida; Brassicales; Brassicaceae.